GCAACUCGCCUACACGAAGUCGGAAUCGCUAGUAAUCGCGGAUCAGCAUGCCGCGGUGAAUACGUUCCCGGGCCUUGUACACACCGCCCGUCACACCAUGGAAGUCUGCAAUGCCCGAAGCCGGUGGCCUAACCACUUAUGUGGAAGGAGCCGUCUAAGGCAGGGCAGAUGACUGGGGUGAAGUCGUAACAAGGUAAC
RNAcentral lists this ribosomal RNA (198 nucleotides) under uncultured bacterium. RNAcentral describes it as "partial 16S ribosomal RNA". It matches the Rfam family "Bacterial small subunit ribosomal RNA", at positions 1307 to 1500 of the family's 1533-position model. The record is from RNAcentral.